This 166-nucleotide ribosomal RNA is filed under the name uncultured bacterium. Its description in RNAcentral is "partial 16S ribosomal RNA". It matches the Rfam family "Bacterial small subunit ribosomal RNA", at positions 1335 to 1500 of the family's 1533-position model. The record is from RNAcentral.
CUAGUAAUCGUGGAUCAGCAUGCCACGGUGAAUACGUUCCCGGGUCUCGUACACACCGCCCGUCACACCAUGGGAGCCGGUAAUACCCGAAGUCAGUAGUCUAACCGCAAGGAGGACGCUGCCGAAGGUAGGAUUGGCGACUGGGGUGAAGUCGUAACAAGGUAGC